GAGUUUCAAAUUGACAUUCUAGACAAGCGGUGCCUGAGCCCGUGCCUGUCUUCAGAUCUUCACAGCACAGUUCCUGGGAAGGUGGAGCCACCAGCCUCUCCCUGGGCAAAGAGGCAGAGGAAUGGAGCUCAGAGCUUUUAGAGAAUAUGGGCCAGAAACAGGAAGGAGUCAGGGCCUGAUAACGGGAACCAGCGGACAGUGAACGCAGUGGAGGGCCACUGGAGCCGGAGCAGCCGAGAGAUUUCAGGAGAAUAACUGGGAGAUGAAACAGGAAGCUCUAUGACACACUUGAUCGAAUAUGACAGACACCGAAAAUCACGACUCAGCCCCCUCCAGCACCUCUACCUGUUGCCCGCCGAUCACAGCCGGAAUGCAGCUGAAAGAUUCCCUGGGGCCUGGUUCCAACCGCCCACUGUGGACUCUGAGGCCUCUGCAUUUGCGGGUGGUCUGCCUGUGAUAUUUUGGUCAUGGGCUGGUCUGGUCGGUUUCCCAUUUGUCUGGCCAGUCUCUAUGUGUCUUAAUCCCUUGUCCUUCAUUAAAAGCAAAACUAAA
This 552-nucleotide long non-coding RNA is filed under the name Pan troglodytes (chimpanzee). RNAcentral describes it as "lincRNA". Lineage: Eukaryota; Metazoa; Chordata; Mammalia; Primates; Hominidae. The record is from RNAcentral.